GCUCCGCCCGCAACGACGUCAACUACAACGCUGGAGGUCACCGGAGGAAAUCCAGCGCCGUGCAACAAAGAGCUCAUCACCGAAGACCAACGCUGCAGUGCGUUCUUCAUUCUGUUCCACGAGACUCUGGACCAGACCACCGCGAGCAGACAGCUGGACUUCAUGUGCGCUCUUGGUGAAAUGACCACGUCCCGUCAGGAUCCUGUGGAGCUCAUGGGCCAUGACACCAGGACCUACUUCAGCACCUCAAAGAGAAUGGACCAAAUGUCAACUGGAAGUUUUUAUAUUAAUACAGUUUGAAAAGGAUUGUUUUCCUAGUAUAUUCACAAAAGCUCAGGAGUAGACGUAUGAACCUGUGCACAAACAUCCAUCACAUAGAGACAUAAGAACACACACACACAUACAUUCUAUUAUGUAAUUGAAUUUGCCUUUUAAAAGCAGCUGGAAAUGUUAUUUGUUAUUUUAUGGAUUUUUUUUGUUCAAAAGGAACUAUGUUGCAUGUAUUUUUAAAAUAUAUUUACUUAAUUUUAGAGACAUUUGUUCAUGGGACUUAAAUAUUCUGAAAAUGUAUUAAUAAAUAUAAUUUACAACAGCAA
Long non-coding RNA from Pseudoliparis swirei, 596 nucleotides. RefSeq lists it as uncharacterized. The transcript is spliced from 2 exons. Lineage: Eukaryota; Metazoa; Chordata; Actinopteri; Perciformes; Liparidae. The record is from RefSeq and is a predicted model, not a curated record.